GGUGUCUAAAGGAGACAGUUGAUAGCCAAACAACAGUUUUGGAUUCACUGACUGAUUAUGAAAGAAGCAGUAGACUGGUAUCAAGAAUCAGUCAGGUUUUUGGAAUCCUUAGGCUUCCACGUGUGGAAAGCCUGAGCUAACCUACUGGAGGAUGAGCCAUCACCUGGAGCAGAUUCAGGCCAUCCUAGUUGAAGCCUCCCUAGGCCAAGCAACCGUCCAACUACCAGCCAUUGACCAUUCAGCCUUGAACAUUCAGCACAAAGACAAAACAGACCAGACCAGAAGAGUCCCACAGAAUAGGGGAAACUAUUCAGAGAAAACUUAAGCCACUAAGUUUUAUGGUGUUUUGUUCUGUAGCAGAAGCAUACUGACAAUACAAACCGAAAUCCUUCUAAUGUAGUGGGCCUUUUCAGGCCAGCAUUUUUUCCUUGAAAACCUGGAGCAUGUAUCCAUCUUAUAGCAGAGAUCACUUUCACAAUGUUUGGG
This 486-nucleotide long non-coding RNA is filed under the name Pan troglodytes (chimpanzee). RNAcentral describes it as "long non-coding RNA NONPTRT003941". Lineage: Eukaryota; Metazoa; Chordata; Mammalia; Primates; Hominidae. The record is from RNAcentral.